AGUGAACGCUGGCGGUAGGCCUAACACAUGCAAGUCGAACGGCAGCACAGUAAGAGCUUGCUCUUACGGGUGGCGAGUGGCGGACGGGUGAGGAAUACAUCGGAAUCUACUUUUUCGUGGGGGAUAACGUAGGGAAACUUACGCUAAUACCGCAUACGACCUACGGGUGAAAGCAGGGGAUCUUCGGACCUUGCGCGAUUGAAUGAGCCGAUGUCGGAUUAGCUAGUUGGCGGGGUAAAGGCCCACCAAGGCGACGAUCCGUAGCUGGUCUGAGAGGAUGAGCAGCCACACUGGAACUGAGACACGGUCCAGACUCCUACGGGAGGCAGCAGUGGGGAAUAUUGGACAAUGGGCGCAAGCCUGAUCCAGCCAUACCGCGUGGGUGAAGAAGGCCUUCGGGUUGCAAAGCCCUUUUGUUGGGAAAGAAAAGCAGCAGGUUAAUACCCCGCUGUUCUGACGGUACCCAAAGAAUAAGCACCGGCUAACUUCGU
RNAcentral lists this ribosomal RNA (491 nucleotides) under uncultured bacterium. RNAcentral's name for it is "partial 16S ribosomal RNA". It matches the Rfam family "Bacterial small subunit ribosomal RNA", at positions 29 to 506 of the family's 1533-position model. The record is from RNAcentral.